UACAGGCAAUUAAAUUUUAUAUAAAACUUUAAACUGUAUAUCCUUGUUUUUUUUUUUGUUUUUUUUGUUUUUGAGAAGUCUCAUUCUUUUGCCCUGGCAAGAGUGCAGUGAUGCACUCUCAGCUUACUGCAACCUCCACCUCCUGGGUUCAAGCAAUUCUUGUGCCUCAGCCUCCUGGGUAGCUGGGAUUACAGGGGUCUGCCACCAUGCCCAGCUAAUUUUUGUACUUUUUUGUAGAGAUGGGGUUUUGCCGUUCAAGACCCAGGGUGGUCUUGAACUCCUGGACUCAAUUGAUCCGCCUGUCUCAACCUCCCAAUGCGUUGGGAUUACAGGUGUGAGCCACCAUGCCCGGCCUUGCAUAUCCUUUUUACUAAAGUGGUUAUUGUUUCUUUUGCCAUUUUAAUAAAUAAUUAUAAUUUUACAUGAAAAGCAAAGUUGCUUUUAUAAAAGCUUGAGGAUUUCUUAUAGAUUAACUGAUUUUUAUAGAUAAUAACAACCAAGUUUUCUUGAUGGCCUUGGCAUGUAACUUCCGUAUAAUAAGUGGAGAUCAAUAAGAAGUUUCCUCAAGUUGUAACUUGAAAGUGGUGUAACUUGGUAUAACUUGAAAGCUUUCAAAUGCCAAGCAAGUGGUAGGUAUUUAUAUGGAGAGAGACGAAAAUUCGUUAUGAGGAACAUUCUUGGGUACAAAUUCUUUUGAUCUAAGGAUUGUUGUUUUUCAGGGGGCUCCUCUGAAUGGGUUUGGGAGGAACAACUGAGCUUGGAUCACUAUGGAGAAGGGCAAGGCUUCUGAGAAUCAGAGCUUAGGAAACCUGGCUCUUGCCUCUCUUUCUCUUUCUUGCUCUGUGUGAAUAUUCAGUUCCACCAAUUCCAGCUGCUUCUUCCUGUCACUGAUUUUCAGAUGAAUUGGGCUCCUUUCCCAGGGACAGAGUCUGGAAGCUUUUUGGAGACAUCAGCUACUCCCUCCCUCAAGGGCAGCAAGCUUGGGAACUAGGGGUGAGGGCUGCACUGGAGGGAUUGCCAGGUGAGGCAGAUCUCACCCAGCCUUUUCGAUCAAGGUAUAGUCAGGAGGAACUGAGAGGAAACUUUCCAUAAACCUCAGGUUUGUGGCACUGGAACAAAUCUUGGGGGAAAAGGCAGGGGAGGGUAUAGAUUAGAGGAGGUAGAGGAAAAUGUGCUUCAGGCUUUCGUCCAGAGUCUGCCCACCUCUAUGAAAAUGUGUUCAUUAUGCCCUGAUAGCCUUCUCCACAGGCAGUUCUCCAAGCCCAUUUUUGAAUCCCUGAUUAAAAAACAACGACCUAACUCAUACCAAUCCACCGCUCUAGUUUCACCUUCUUUGAUUCUUGAGAGCUUUCUUCUUUAAAAUGCACAUAUUCCCUAGGAUGAGUUAUAGCUUAAUUUAGGAGUGACAGCUCAUAAGAUCACAUGUCUAAAACCAAAUUCCUGAUUUUCCAUCUCACUAAACAGGUACCACUGCCCACUCAGUUGCUCAAACUGAAACAUGCUCUUUCUCCUACAUGCCUUAUGCUGUCUAUCACCCCUUUUUGUUAGUUUUUCCUCUAACACACAUCUCUCUAUUUUUUUUUUUUUUUGAGACAAGGUCUUGCCCUGUUGCCCAAGCUGGCAUGAUAAUGGCUCACUGCAGCCUCAAGCGAUCCUCCCACCUCAAGCCUCCCACAGGUGCACACCACCACACCCAGCUAGUUUUUAAACAUUUUGUGGAGAUAGGGUCUCACUAUGUUGCCCAGGUUGGUCUCAGACUCCGGAGCUUAAGUGGUCCACCCACCUCAGCCUCCAGAAGUGCUGGGAUUACAGCCACUGCACCAGGCCUCUGUAAAUAUAUUUCUAAGAAUAAGUUGGCAGGGUGGGCACCGUGGCUUAUGCCUAUAAUCCCAUUACUUUGGGAGGCUGAUGUGGGUGGAUCACCUGAGGUCAGGAGUUCUAGACCAGCCUGGCCAACAUGGUGAAACCCCAUCUCUACUAAAAAUACGAAAAAUUAGCUGGGAUGUGGUGGCGGGUGCCUGUAAUUCCAGCUACUCAGGAGGCUGAGGCAGAGGUUGCAGUGAGCCGAGAUUGUGGCACUGCACUCCAGCCUAGGCAACAGGAAUGAAACUCCGUCUCAAAAUGAAAAAUAAGUAAAUAAGUUGGCCUGAAAUGAAUCCAAAUCAGUUUAGACAGCAAAAGAUAAGACUUCUUUUAGGACCAAGAAACUUUUCUAAACUUCACCUAUCUGUAGUUGAAAUCCCAGCUGAUGCAUCCUGCAAAAGGUUUAAGAAAAGAUUCUGGAUAAUUAAACAAUGGUGAUCCUUUUGAAUUAAGGUUAUUGGGAGCAGCCCAGGCAGACACGCACACACACAAAAUCCUUUUCAACCUUUUUGAACUUUAGGGCCAAAUUGUCACCUUCGCAUCCAGAUGACUUGGGGGCUGAUGUUGCAGUGUCUAAAUGAUUCAUCCUUCCAUUUCUCAUCCUUAUCCCUCCAGCUCCUUGCCUUUCUCCAAUUCAGUGCUCAUUUGCACUUUUACCAGCCAGGACACAGGAGAAAAGAUGAAAAGCUCAGAAAGUUUAUUCCACUUUUUCAAAGAAGUUAAUGGGGAGCAGGUUGAUUUUACAGCACAAUAGUGAGAUCGUUGCUCUUCAAAGCUUUCUUUUUCUUAGAUUCUGUCUCUUCUUGCCUCCCUCAUCUUUCAUUACGUUUCUUUUUUUUUUUUUUUAAUGUUAAAACAGCAAUGAAACGAGGUCUCACUAUGUUGUGCCGGCCGGUCUCUGACUUCUGAGCUCAAGUGAUCUGCCCAUCUCAGCCUCCCAAAGUGCUGGAAUUACAGGCAUGAUCCACUGUACCCAGCCUGUGCUUCCUUUAUCCUCGCUCAGAAACAGCUCCUUGCUUUCUAGAAUCGCAGACUCUUAAAGCUGGAAGGGACCCAAGGAACUCUUCUGUAUAUGGCUUAAUCACUCCUGGGGAAAACCAAACCUCAGAGAGAUGAAAUGAUUUCCCAGGACCACUGGAAACCAAAUCUUUCUACUAUGGCACCCUGCCUUGCUUCUCUGAAAUAACAGUAAAAUGAAAGAAAACUUCAGUCAUUGAAGAAAAAAAUUUUUUUUCUUUUUCUUUUUUCUUUUUUUUGAGACAGGGUCUCAUUAUGUUGUUGCCUAGGCUGAAAUGCAGUGGCAUGAUCUCAGCUUACUGCAACCUCCACUCCUAGGCUCAAGCCAUCCUUCCACCCCAGCCUCCUGAGUAGCUGGGGCCACAGGAGCAUGCCACCAUGCCUGGCUAAUUUUGUUUUGUAAUUUUUGUAGAGAUGGGGUUUUGCUGUGUUGCCUAGGCUGGUCUCGAACUCCUGAAUUCAAGCCAUCCAGCCCUGUUGGCCUCCCAAAGUGCUGGGAUUGCAGGCGUGAGCCACGGCAACUGGCUGAAUUUUGUUUUCUUUUGUUGGAAAAAAAUAAUAGCAAUAUCACCCAUGCAUUUUUGCUUUCAGAAUGUUUCCUGAAUUAAGGAGCAAAACUCAUGUAAGAUAGAAUAAAAAGAAAUCCCAAUUAAAGUAGGAAAUAAAAAUGCUUUUAAUGUCAGUUUAAUCAUUAGAAAUUAGAUUUCUAAUUUGUUCCUCCAGUUAGCUAGCCAGUGGCUCAGUAUUUCUUGGGUACAAAGGUCUAAUAACAUCCUCAAUAACUCCAUGGAGCAAUAGGGACCAUCAGCUCUGAAUGAAUUCAGGAGGCUUAGAACUUUCUCGCAUGCCUUGCUCAUUUCUUUAGUUUCUUUUCUUGGAUUUGGUUGACUACUUUCCUUCUGUAUUCUCAGGUAUUUGAAAGGUACCUAUCCAAGUGUCUCUUUACUCUGGUGCACCAUAAAAAAAUGGAAACAAAAAUAUUGAUAUGGUUUGGCUGUGUCCCCACCAAAUUUCAAAUUGCAUUUUCCAGAAUUCCCAUGUGUUGUGGGAGGGACCCAGGGAAGGUAACUGAAUCAUGGGGGCUGGUCUUUCCCGUGCUAUUCUUGUGGUAGUGAAUAAGUCUCAUGAGAUCUAAUGGGUUUAUCAGGGAUUUCUGCUUUUGCUUCUUCCUUUUUCUCUUGCCGCCACCAUCUAAGAAGUGCCUUUCUCCUCCUGCCAUGAUUCUGAGGCCUCCCCAGCCACUUAAACUGGUCCAGCAACUCCAAUGACAAGAAUGAUGCAUUUUCAUCACUUGUGACUUCCGGUGAUUCUCAGGUGCAGCAGAGAUAGAGAGAUCUGAAAAUGGGAAUUUCCAAACAACUCUGUUUUCUAAUUUCCAGGGUCUAACCUUGAGAUAAACCAGACAUGGAGACACAGCUGCAAAAUGCCAGAGGCUGCCUCAAGGCUGUUAGUCUACAACCCGGCCAUUGUUCAGAGGACACCAGCUCACGCUGACAGCCACCAGGGAAACAAGAGACACAGACCUUGAAUUCAGGCCUGCUCUUGCACACCUCCCAUUCCCAUUCUGCUUUUUAAGCCCACUCCCCAGCCUAAAGUUGGGAAUGGUCUUUUAAAGGCAUGAGCCUGGCUAUUUUCCAACUGCUAGCAUUUGAAUAAAGUUGGUUUCGUUUCACCACAUCUCACUUUCCUGCUUUCGACAUCUGAGUGGCCAGCAGUGGGACUUGAACCGGUUACACUGCAUCUGAAGCACCCUGGGCUGCCCUCAUCACUACUUUUGGAACUCAUGUUUUGCAGGCACUGACAGACAGCCCGAGUAAAUGAACCUGAAAUUACGUUUUUUUCUUCCGUUUUGUCCUCCAUUCCCCUCUCCAUUAUAUGAACGAUAUAGUCAUAGAAGUUGCCUCUAAAAUCCAGAAAACGUAGUUCCAGCCUAGCAAAGUCACCCAGUUAUAUGAUUAAGAUGAUAAUGAUGGAGGAAGUUUGUAAAGGGCUUUGAAGAUCAGACUGAGAUUCAGAUAUUCCUAGAGAGUGGAGGCUAGUAACCCCCUUUACCUUGUAGCUAUUCGCAUUCACUGAUUUGCAACAGAAUUAAGGAAACCUCUGGAUAAAACACUUGAACACUGUCCACGAUUAAGG
Callithrix jacchus (white-tufted-ear marmoset) is the source of this 5016-nucleotide long non-coding RNA. RefSeq lists it as uncharacterized. Lineage: Eukaryota; Metazoa; Chordata; Mammalia; Primates; Cebidae. The record is from RefSeq and is a predicted model, not a curated record.